UUCUGCGGUAAUACCACUUACAAUAUGCCCCAUCUCAUCUGAUUUCAGAAGAUAAGCAGUGCUGGGCAUGCUUUGUACUUAGAAAGGGGAAAUACUGGCAAAUAGACU
RNAcentral lists this ribosomal RNA (108 nucleotides) under Dipodomys ordii (Ord's kangaroo rat). Lineage: Eukaryota; Metazoa; Chordata; Mammalia; Rodentia; Heteromyidae. The record is from RNAcentral.